This 378-nucleotide unclassified non-coding RNA is filed under the name uncultured Rickettsiales bacterium. Its description in RNAcentral is "contains 16S-23S intergenic spacer region". Lineage: Bacteria; Pseudomonadati; Pseudomonadota; Alphaproteobacteria; Rickettsiales. The record is from RNAcentral.
UCCAGCUUAACGCUGGCGGUUUCCUUAGAGUUCCCAACUUAAUGAUGGCAACUAAGGACGAGGGUUGCGCUCGUUGCGGGACUUAACCCAACAUCUCACGACACGAGCUGACGACAGCCAUGCAGCACCUGUGUGUUAGCCAGCCAAACUGAAGAGAUUCAUCUCUGAAUCCCAUACUAACCAUGUCAAGGCCUGGUAAGGUUCUUCGCGUUGCCUCGAAUUAAACCACAUGCUCCACCGCUUGUGCGGGUCCCCGUCAAUUCCUUUGAGUUUUAAUCUUGCGACCGUACUCCCCAGGCGGAGUGCUUAAUGCGUUAGCUUCGCCACUGGGAACUGAGCCCCCAACGGCUAGCACUCAUCGUUUACGGCGUGGACUAC